UACAGGGGGGGCAAGCGUUGUUCGGAAUUACUGGGCGUAAAGGGCUCGUAGGCGGCCAACUAAGUCACACGUGAAAUCCUCAGGCUUAACCUGGGAACUGCGUGUGAUACUGGAUGGCUUGAAUUCGGGAGAGGGAUGCAGAAUUCCAGGUGUAGCGGUGAAAUGCGUAGAUAUCUGGAGGAAUACCGGUGGCGAAGGCGGCAUCCUGGACCGACAUUGACGCUGAGGAGCGAAAGCUAGGGGAGCAAACGGG
RNAcentral lists this ribosomal RNA (253 nucleotides) under uncultured bacterium. Its description in RNAcentral is "partial 16S ribosomal RNA". It matches the Rfam family "Bacterial small subunit ribosomal RNA", at positions 524 to 776 of the family's 1533-position model. The record is from RNAcentral.